ACGGGUGAGUAACAUAUCGGAACGUACCGAGUAAUGGGGGAUAACUAAUCGAAAGAUUAGCUAAUACCGCAUAUUCUCUGAGGAGGAAAGCAGGGGACCUUCGGGCCUUGCGUUAUUCGAGCGGCCGAUAUCUGAUUAGCUAGUUGGUGGGGUAAAGGCCUACCAAGGCGACAAUCAAUAACGGGUCUGAGAGGAUGAUCCGCCACACUGGGACUGAGACACGGCCCACACUCCUACCGCAGGCAGCAGUGGGGAAUUUUGGACAAUGGGCGCAGGCCUGAUCCCUGAUGCCCCGUGUCUGAAGAAAGCCUUCGCCCUGUAAAGUUGUUUUGUAUUUUUGUAAAAGAACAAGAGGAAUAGCCCAAUACCCCUGUCGGACGACGGGACCUGAAAACUACGCACCGCCUAACUACGUGCCAGCAGCCGCGGUAGUACGUAGGGUGCGAGCGUUAAUCGGAAUUACUGGGCGUAAAGCAAGCGCAGACGGUUACUUAAGCAGGAUGUGAAAUCCCCGGGCUCAACCUGUGAACUGCGUUCUGAACUGGGUGACUAUAGUGUGUCAGAGGGAACUAGAAUUCCACGUGUAGCAGUGAAAUGCGUAGAGAUGUAAAGGAAUACCGAUGGCGAAGGCAGCCUCCUGGGGAUAACACUGACGUUCAUGCUCGAAAGCGAGGGGUAGCAAACAGGAUUAAGAUACCCUGGCAGUCCACGCCCUAAAAC
This 720-nucleotide ribosomal RNA is filed under the name uncultured bacterium. RNAcentral describes it as "bacterial SSU rRNA". It matches the Rfam family "Bacterial small subunit ribosomal RNA", at positions 102 to 808 of the family's 1533-position model. The record is from RNAcentral.